CAGCAGAGAUGUACAGAACAUAGCAACCACCCUGGGAGGGCCUAUGGGCCAUAACAACCAGUUGACCAAUCAACACAGGGCAAGUCCUCCAAGCCUGGAGUCACAUCAUCCUGAGCCUGUGCGUACCCCUCGACACUCCCCUUAUGCUGCCCUAUAAGAUCUCUGUCCCGUGGUUUCUCCGGGUCUUUGUCACAGCCAUCUGCCACGGUGGAUGGACGAAAGGACGGAGCUAAUGGGGUUAGCUUGUUAAACUGCAAUAAAACCUCUUGCUGUUUGCAUCAAGCUUUUGCCCCCACCUGGUGAUUGGGAGUCGCCUCGGUCCUGGGCUGAAAUCCUGGGGGCCUGAGCCACUGGGUGUCUUUCAUUUGGGGGCUUGUCCAGGAUUUUCAACUACCCCUCACCUAAGUGGAGCCGAUCUUGGAGUUGUCCUGGAGGUCGUGAGACUGCUUUUACUGUGAUUGGUAGACGUGCCCAGAGGAUCGCAGACUGCUGCCAUGGGGGACGCUCCCAGGAGGAAUGGAGACCCAAGGAUGCUUGGGACUCUCCUUGGAUAGCGGUUGCAGCUGCCUGGUUCUGCCGCCUGUCUGCCCAGCACCAUUGCCUUCUGAGAUACUUUCAUUUUUGUGUCAUAAGCGGUGGGGAUGGAUUGGGUUGGCGUCUGUUCUUUUCUGUCUGUCUCUGUGUGUUUUUAUCAUUGGUUUUCAAUAUGGGACAGACUGUAACCACCCCCCUCAGUCCGACUCUUGGCCACUGGAUGGACAUUAAGGACAGAGCCCAUAGUCAGUUAAAGUUAAGAAAUAUAAAUGACAAACCAUCUGCACUUCAGGAUCCACCACGACACCCCCUUUCAUUGAGUCAUGUGGCGCCACACAAGGUAACUUUCUUUUUUCCUUGUUUCUGUAGUUUCUGUGAAGCCUGGAGGGUCAGAACAGGCUGUGUGACUGGCCAGUUGAGCAGGGCUCAUUAAAUAUACUUUUCUUGGGCUGGAGAGAUGGCUCAAAGUUUAAGAGUACUGACUGCUCUUCUAGACGUCCUGAGUUCAAUUCCACAUGGUGGCUCAUAACCAUCUGUAAUGAGAUCUGGUGCCCUCUUCUGGUGUGCAGAUAUACAUGGAAGCAGA
This 1120-nucleotide long non-coding RNA is filed under the name Cricetulus griseus (Chinese hamster). Its description in RNAcentral is "lncRNA (ENSCGRG00015035981.1)". The record is from RNAcentral. Lineage: Eukaryota; Metazoa; Chordata; Mammalia; Rodentia; Cricetidae.